GUCCACGCCGUAAACGAUGAGUGCUAGGUGUCGUGGGUUUUGACCCCUGCGGUGCCGUAGCUAACGCAUUAAGCACUCCGCCUGGGAAGUACGGCCGCAAGGCUAAAACUCAAAGGAAUUGACGGGGGCCCGCACAAGCGGUGGAGCAUGUGGUUUAAUUCGACGCAACGCGCAGAACCUUACCCGGGCUGGAAAAGGUAGGAACCUGGUAGAAAUACCGGGGUGCUCGCAAGAGAGCCUGCAUGCAGGUGCUGCAUGGCUGUCGU
This 266-nucleotide ribosomal RNA is filed under the name uncultured bacterium. Its description in RNAcentral is "partial 16S ribosomal RNA". It matches the Rfam family "Bacterial small subunit ribosomal RNA", at positions 793 to 1055 of the family's 1533-position model. The record is from RNAcentral.